This is a small nucleolar RNA of Otolemur garnettii (small-eared galago), 136 nucleotides long. The record is from Ensembl. Lineage: Eukaryota; Metazoa; Chordata; Mammalia; Primates; Galagidae.
GCAUGGGUUUGGAUUUAUGGCAGGCCUGUUCCCCUGAGCCUCUCAUAGUGCCUCAUUCCAGAGCAAACCGUGGCCCUGAAUCAUUGCCUGGCCUCUGUGUCCAUAGGCUGCUGGCACUGAAGUGGGUUGCACAGAA